CGUUGCAUGGUCAAACUGGUUAAGGCAUCGCCGUUUAGAGUCAAAGAUGCGGGUUCGAGUCCCGCUGGAACGG
Molecule: transfer RNA, 73 nt
Organism: Operophtera brumata (winter moth)
Lineage: Eukaryota; Metazoa; Arthropoda; Insecta; Lepidoptera; Geometridae
Rfam family: tRNA
About the family: Transfer RNA (tRNA) molecules are approximately 80 nucleotides in length. Their secondary structure includes four short double-helical elements and three loops (D, anti-codon, and T loops).
Source: Rfam